RNAcentral lists this ribosomal RNA (607 nucleotides) under Salmonella enterica subsp. enterica serovar Enteritidis. RNAcentral's name for it is "partial 23S ribosomal RNA". It matches the Rfam family "Bacterial large subunit ribosomal RNA", at positions 665 to 1269 of the family's 2925-position model. The record is from RNAcentral. Lineage: Bacteria; Pseudomonadati; Pseudomonadota; Gammaproteobacteria; Enterobacterales; Enterobacteriaceae.
GCCGGAGGGAAACCGAGUCUUAAUUGGGCGUUAAGUUGCAGGGUAUAGACCCGAAACCCGGUGAUCUAGCCAUGGGCAGGUUGAAGGUUGGGUAACACUAACUGGAGGACCGAACCGACUAAUGUUGAAAAAUUAGCGGAUGACCUGUGGCUGGGGGUGAAAGGCCAAUCAAACCGGGAGAUAGCUGGUUCUCCCCGAAAGCUAUUUAGGUAGCGCCUCGUGAAUUCAUCUCCGGGGGUAGAGCACUGUUUCGGCUAGGGGGCCAUCCCGGCUUACCAACCCGAUGCAAACUGCGAAUACCGGAGAAUGUUAUCACGGGAGACACACGGCGGGUGCUAACGUCCGUCGUGAAGAGGGAAACAACCCAGACCGCCAGCUAAGGUCCCAAAGUCAUGGUUAAGUGGGAAACGAUGUGGGAAGGCCCAGACAGCCAGGAUGUUGGCUUAGAAGCAGCCAUCAUUUAAAGAAAGCGUAAUAGCUCACUGGUCGAGUCGGCCUGCGCGGAAGAUGUAACGGGGCUAAACCAUGCACCGAAGCUGCGGCAGCGACACUGUGUGUUGUUGGGUAGGGGAGCGUUCUGUAAGCCUGUGAAGGUGUGUCGUGAGGC